UCCGCCACUUGCACUCCAGCCUGGGCGACAAGAGCGAGACUCCGUCUCAAAAAAAAAGAAAGUGGAAAGAUUAAACACAGCUCUGGACAACAGAACUUGAACACCAUCACCUAUGAAGUAAACCUGGGCUUCUGGCAGACCUACCUAAAGUACCAUUGAGGGAGAUGUUAAAAUACAUAUCAAAAUCACCAUGCAGACACCAGAGUCCUGAGACUGUCAGAGAAUUUCUCACAGCAAUGAAAAGCCACAAGUUGACCAAAAAGCACGGACUUCUUGGUUACAGCCUGUAGUGGUGGCUGAGAUUGUGAGGCCUGGGUGAAGACGUGAGUAGGAGGGUCAGAGGAUGAAAGUCAGCACCAUGAGCGUGCCAGAGCCUUGUGGGAGAAGAGAAAAUCCAGAAGGAGAUGAAGAAGGGAGAAUUGGAAGGAUCAGAAAAGAAUUGAGAAAGAAGGUGUCAUGGAAGCCCUGAGGGCAGGCAGUUUCAAGGAGGGAAUGAUCAACAGUGUCACAUGUCACCAACAGGAUGGAGUGGGACCGAGGAGCAGCCACUAUGUGUGGAGGACACCAGGCCCUUGAAGCAAGAACAGUUUUGAUCCCCUGCAGCUUUUAGUCCUUGCAGUCCCUCUUCUCCCUCUUCACGUGGAGACCUCUCAGAUGGGAACUGAGAAAACUACCCGGAAUGAACUCAUCUCCCUUCCAGUCAUUUCUGACUGACUGCUGUUUUCCCCUCACCGUGGUCACGAUGGAACUGUCUCAGUCUUGCUGGAGGUUUGGGCAGCAGUUUCUGAGGGUCUUUCCGUUUCCCUCCUGGAGUUUCAGCCUCUCCACGUGUUUGUCUUCCCAGCCGGUGGCCAUUCUCCAGUCUCCCUCCGGACCCUCCCUCCUCAGGCAGCAGUUGCUUUUUUACUUCUGUGUUAUCAAGAGGCUGUUUGCUCCACAAUCAUUCCUCAGUCCCCUGAGACCAGUUGUCAUUCUGCUGAACUUUCCACUGUCAUUCCACUGCACAGGCCACCAAUGACUUCUUGGUUAGCAAAUCCAAUGACUUCUACAUUGACACUGUCAACCUAUUUUUCUGUCUCUGUCGCCCAGGCUGGAGUGCAGUGGUGUGAUCAUAGCUCACUGCAGCCUCAGACUCCUGG
Long non-coding RNA from Cercocebus atys (sooty mangabey), 1139 nucleotides. RefSeq lists it as uncharacterized. The transcript is spliced from 4 exons. Lineage: Eukaryota; Metazoa; Chordata; Mammalia; Primates; Cercopithecidae. The record is from RefSeq and is a predicted model, not a curated record.